Quercus lobata is the source of this 236-nucleotide long non-coding RNA. RefSeq lists it as uncharacterized. Lineage: Eukaryota; Viridiplantae; Streptophyta; Magnoliopsida; Fagales; Fagaceae. The transcript has 3 exons. The record is from RefSeq and is a predicted model, not a curated record.
AAUACAUAGGUACCUACAAAAACCUCAUUUUAUGUUUUCAAUUUUUAGGCACAAAGGAGCCUGCACAGGCCUUGAGAGAAAAAACAACCCUUGGUUAUAUUGAUGCUGGUGUUGCUUCAACAUGAAGUCAUAAUACAUGGAGAGUGGUAAGGAGGAAGAUAAGUAGGGAAUGUGAUGCUGUGUUGUUGAUUUAAUCAGGAAUGGAUUUUUUUCUCCAACUUAAAUGAAUGACUAGC